GCUGUAGUUUGCAGGAUUUCUGCGGAGUGCCGAGUGCGCCUCGCUCCGUCUUAUUACCUCUGCUUUAGUUCUAAGUUUACCGAGUGGCGAUUUUUACGCGUAGAGCGUGGAGCGGCGCAGUUCGGAGUAGGAGAGAGGAGAAGAAGAAAAAAAGGCUUCAGCCGAUCAACUCAACAUGAGUCGCCCUCCGCACGGUUUUCCUCCUUCACUUGCGGGAAGCGUACACCUGACGCAUCACUCUCUCUUGCCGUGGAACUGAUCUUCCUCUCCAACAUAUCGACUCCCGCUGGGUUAUUUUCCACUUUGCGAAACGCCUGCACUCCUGCUACGGCAUGCUGUCAGAUUAACACUGUCCACCACCACCGUGGCCAACUACGAUCUUCAAGAGGCGAGUCAUUUGUAUUUAUUUUCUUUAUUUUGUUGCACAGUGUGAUUAUAACGUUAAUCGUGUUUUCCUGCUCAAUAUAUUCGCGGAACAUUAGUGGAUGUGGGUGUUUGUGUAACUGCUGGAGCCCGAACCUGCGUGUAGGAGAAGCGAGGUGUUGGUGGUGGUGGAGGAUGGUUAGCGUUUGUUUGGUUGGUGGUGUAAGACUGUGGAACUGCUGAUUUGCUCCAGGAAAGUGGACUUGGUGAUAUGCACUAUCUGAAGCACAGCAGCUUAGGUCCCCGAGAGCUCCAGCCUCGGGGCUGUUUCCCUCAUGAUGACAGCGCUACACCAUGUCCUUCUUCUGAAUGAGCCUGUGUGACAGCCAGGCAGAGCCGCCGCCUCCUCCUCCUCCUAAUCCUGUAUCUAUCGGACUUCUGAUGUAGAUGAAACUACAGUCUCUUAAUGUGCCAUCAGCAGGAGAGAGAGUCAAAUCAAUGGCAAGUAGGUUUGAUGUGUGAACUAUGCUCCAUUUACUUUAAAAUGCGUAAGAUUCACACAGUAGAGCUGCACUGGCAUUUGAUCAUCUGCCCUAAUCUCAGGGUCAAAAGUGAGUCUCAAGAUAUUUAAAAGGAAAAAAAAUGACUAUAUUUUUACUCACUUUUGCUUUAUGUUUUCUUUUUCUUGAUAUUUCUUCACUGCAUCAACCAAAGUACUCGAUGAAGUACUUGAAUAAUUCCAUUUUAGUACUUUACAUUUAAAUAUUGAGCUUUUUCCUUUCCUACAUUUAUUUGGUUGGCAAUUUGUGUGCAAAUUAAGCUUUUCCUACACAGUAAUACUAACAGCUUCUAUUGUGUGACGUGUUCCUGCAGGACAAACUGCCUAAAAGUAGAUAAAUGUGUUGAAUCCCAGCAGCAGGUAAAUGCUGCUUAGAUGAUGGGAGAUUAGUAAUAAAACACAGCACUAAACAAUAUGAUAUUAUGAAUGCACCCUUUUACUUUUGAAACUUCGUACUACAAGAUACUAUUUUUAAUAGUGUUACUUAUGUAACACUUGGAAAUAAGGACUUUAAAAUGAAUAAAUGUUAACAUUGCAGCAUUUUUAGUAGUGAAUUUCAGCUUUUUUAAUACUGCAAAAAUGAAAUACCAUAUACUGUAUAUUCACACUGACACUAUUCUGUAGGUUUGCACAUUGAAAAUAGUCACCACCAAAAAAAGGACUACUUAAAAUCAUCAAAUCCUCCUUUUUUGGGCUAAUGAGUCCUUAAAAAAGCAUUAUAACUGUAUAAGAAUAUAACAGUGUAAUAAAAUAUAGCAGUGCAUCACAUCAAGGAGGUUUUAAAAGAUGAAAUCUUUUUGUAAAUGUAGUAUGUUGUGAAAAGAGCCUUUAAUUCUCAGCUUUGGGAUACAUUUAUUUAAAAAAAAAAACACAAAAGUAAUGAGAAAAGCAAAGAAGGGAAAAUGGAUUUCCGCCUGUAGUCACUCGAUGGCCUUUGACCUCUUUGGAUUCGUCUGUUAAAUCCUUGACCUUUCAAAGUAAACAGAUUUAGUCAUAGAGAUUUGUACUCAGCACGUCUACUGUUGUCUUAAAGUCAGAUAGUGGAGAAAAAGGUUUCCUGUGUAAAAUAAAGAUAAACAGGGUUUAAACAUCCUUCACUGUAUAUAAAGACCAAAAAAGACUCAGUGUUCUCCCUGAAUGUGUUAUAUAGACACGGGGGAUGUUAGAGAAAAAACAUAAACUGUUGCUAACAGAGAUUUUCAAGACUUAUGUUUAAUGUUCCCUCAAAGAGUCGUAAUACAAAUGUUAAUAUUUUCAAACUGUGUGUGUAUGUGUGUGUGGGUGGCUUUAUGCAGCCUACUGGCAUUGCUGCUGUGCAUAAGGCGGUGUGAGCAAAGCUCAUCUAAACUGGCAACGUGUUUUAGGUCGAUUUUCGCAACAGCACGGAAGGAAAAGUGACCGUAAUACUCAUUAAUUCCCUCCGCUAAAAGGCCACGUUCUUUGUUGUGGUCAGCGUGGCGAUGCUCUAGCCAGGGGAAACGAUGAUGCUCUUCAAUGAGCUCCUGUCCUUCCACUGUGCAUGCUUGUCUUAUUCAAAUGAAGUAACUUGAUUUGAUAUCCACAGACAGAAACUCAAUGUGAGGCUCCCUCUGUCCUCUUGUUAUCUGAAAAUUAAAUUUCUCCCUCAUGGAUUGCAUUUCACGGUUCACCGACUCAUCCGCCAAUAAGGGCCGUAAGACCGAGCUAUGAGAUGGUUUCAAAAACGUCCGGGCGGAGUUGUCCGCUCCGGAUCUAAGUGGGUUUACAUUCGUUCGCCUGGUUAAGCCCGAGUAUGUUCCGUGUCGUUAUUCAUUUUAAUGCACUGUGGCUUAUAAAAAAUCGUACUCAGGUUUUAGCGCAGAAAGUCUUGCACAUAUUUUAUAUUUGCAGACAGGGGGGAAAAAUGACUGGAAAAGCAGAAUAAAACUAUUCACACUGUAAUUAAAGAACUCCGAAAGGAGCUGCACAAGGUUUUGGUUUAAUCAACCUUUCAUUAAGUGGGACCUGAGAGCAAGCUGACAUAGUAAAAAAAUGCAAUUUGUUGCACACUUGCUGAUAAGGUCAACUCGUGUAAAUACUAGAGUGCCUUAUGGUCUUUUAAAAUAUUAUUUUACACCAUUUAGGGUGGGCAAUACAGCCUGAAAAUUAUAUUACAAUAUUUUAAGAUGAUGUGCAAUGAUAUUUCUCAUGAUAUAGAAAAAAUAGCGAGCUACAUUUCAGUGAUGCUUGCAGUCAGUGUAAGUAAAUAAGGGGGAUUUUCCUUUUUUUCCAGCGAGCUGCUGUCACUGAUGACACACCUCCUAAAUCAAAGUGUGAAUCUACUGAAACAAGGUGCCAGCAGCAGCAGCAUCAGCAUUACAGUGUGAUAGUAGUGGCACAGCAGUAUAUCCAGUGACAUGGCAGAAGUCAAAUGUAAGCACAAAAGUGUCCCAGCUAGCUUUUCCCUGGAAUUUUUAAGUAAAAAUAUAGAAUAACUGCUUAAAACUUUACUAUAUUGAGUUAACCUUAACUUUUUAACCAGCUGCUUAAAGCACUGAUUUUCCACCGUGUAACCACAUCAGUAAUUUCCAUCCACCGUUUGCUCUUCCUGCCAUAUGGAGUGCAACUAGCAGCCGGCGAUGCUUGGUUUGAGUCAUUUGUUUACUUUUGGGUUGCACAUCACCAGCUGCUAGUAUCUACUCCUUUGUAGCCCGGUUAUAGUUGACGAUGUUUUCAGCCUCGAGUGGAAAACUAGUUUGUUGUUUCCACCUUCGGCAGGAACAGUGUUCUUGUUUAUUUUGCAAAGCAUUGUGCUUUGUUGGAGGUUGCUAAAGUAGCUCGCCUUUUUAGGCGCAUGCCCGAGUUUGUCUCAUUAUUGUGUGCACUAAGAACGUGUGGCGUUGCUAUAACAGCAAUAUCACAAUGACGUGGACGAUGUGAUACGGCACAGCCCUAUAUGUAGUUGGGGUUUUUUAGACUUGAGGUGCCUAAUUGUAAAAUUUUAAAGAUUUAAAUCCAUAAUUAAAGGCAAAAUUCAAAGAGACAGCUCAUAGCAUGCAGUGUAUGAGAUCCUUGUUUUGUUUCUCAUAACCCUCUCGGGCGCGCACACACAUACACUCUCCUU
Long non-coding RNA from Oreochromis niloticus (Nile tilapia), 4004 nucleotides. Lineage: Eukaryota; Metazoa; Chordata; Actinopteri; Cichliformes; Cichlidae. The record is from Ensembl.